This 213-nucleotide ribosomal RNA is filed under the name uncultured bacterium. Its description in RNAcentral is "partial 16S ribosomal RNA". It matches the Rfam family "Bacterial small subunit ribosomal RNA", at positions 524 to 735 of the family's 1533-position model. The record is from RNAcentral.
UACGUAGGGUGCAAGCGUUAAUCGGAAUUACUGGGCGUAAAGCGUGCGCAGGCGGUCCGUUAAGACAGAUGUGAAAUCCCCGGGCUUAACCUGGGAACUGCAUUUGUGACUGGCGGACUCGAGUAUGGCAGAGGGGGGUAGAAUUCCACGUGUAGCAGUGAAAUGCGUAGAGAUGUGGAGGAAUACCGAUGGCGAAGGGCAGCCCCCCUGGGC